GCUAGUAAUGGCAGGUCAGCAUACUGCCGUGAAUACGUUCCCGGGCCCUUGUACACACCGCCCGUCACACCAUGAGAGUUGGGAAUACCCGAAGCCUGUGAGCUAACGAAAGAGGCAGCAGUCGAAGGUAGAAUCAAUGAUUGGGGUGAAGUCGUAACAAGGUAGC
RNAcentral lists this ribosomal RNA (166 nucleotides) under uncultured bacterium. Its description in RNAcentral is "partial 16S ribosomal RNA". It matches the Rfam family "Bacterial small subunit ribosomal RNA", at positions 1334 to 1500 of the family's 1533-position model. The record is from RNAcentral.